AUUUGUAUAAUAUAAUAAUAAUAUAUUUGACUUCCAAUCAAAUAAUCUAGUAAUAGUACAAAUA
RNAcentral lists this transfer RNA (64 nucleotides) under Hemisodorcus donckieri. RNAcentral describes it as "tRNA-Gly". The record is from RNAcentral. Lineage: Eukaryota; Metazoa; Arthropoda; Insecta; Coleoptera; Lucanidae.